CUUCUGAAACUCUGUUUAACUGUACUUCCCAGGAGCUUGUUCAGCAAUGUCAAUACAUUAUGGAAUCAAUGGGGAACAGGAAGAAGACAAGCAGGAAACUAGAUUUGAGACCACAACUCUUCUGUCCUCUGAAGCGCUUUCACUUGGAGAAGUUGCAUGAUGCAGUGGAAUUUUUCUUCUUUAUGUCUGUCUUGGCUAAAGCAAGACAGACGAGCUUGAAAAGGCUCGCCCUCCUCAAGGAACGCUAUCUGAUUCGUAAGCAUUCCUAGAGGUUAAGGCUGGUGACUAUCAAGAAAGCAAAUACUUCACGCAAGGACCUAAUGCCUGCCUCAGACCUAAUGUCUUAGGAGUCCUUGGAAAUUUUACGGGUUUUUCAUCUGAGCAGCUGAGGAAACUUUUGAAAAUGUACCUUCAGAUGACUCACACACAUUAAAUUUCUCAGAACCUUACCUGUGUUUUUAAAACAGCAUGAAAGGAAGCAUGCCAGUGGUACAAGGAAAAGAGGUGGAUGUUGGUGAUCUACCCUCUUACAUGGAAGGUAAGCAGACCUCAGCAAAUACCUCACCUCCUUCGCAGCAGGCCACGAGAAGUGUUAUUAGCAAUGCCAUGUGCCCAGUGAUACUAAUAUUAAUGGACAUUUGUUAGCCUUCUGAAACCUCUUUAGAUAUAAGUUUAGUCACUCGUAGCUAUUAGAGAUAUAUCUCUAAACAUGAAUAUAAACAGGUACCUUAAUAUUUAGAUGGUGUAUAAUUGACAAGAUAUAUGAAAGUUCUUCACCUACACUGAAAAGAGAUAAGCAAGAAAGUUUAACAGAAGGUUCUCACCUGACUUUCAAAGUUUUCUUAGUUUUAAUCUGUCAUCUAAUCAUUCCACUGUAUUUAUCAACAAUGUCCAGAAAGACAAGAGCUUG
RNAcentral lists this long non-coding RNA (910 nucleotides) under Anas platyrhynchos platyrhynchos (common mallard). RNAcentral's name for it is "lncRNA (ENSAPLG00000025690.1)". The record is from RNAcentral. Lineage: Eukaryota; Metazoa; Chordata; Aves; Anseriformes; Anatidae.